This 207-nucleotide ribosomal RNA is filed under the name uncultured bacterium. RNAcentral describes it as "partial 16S ribosomal RNA". It matches the Rfam family "Bacterial small subunit ribosomal RNA", at positions 568 to 774 of the family's 1533-position model. The record is from RNAcentral.
CUCGUAGGCGGUUUGUCGCGUCGGGAGUGAAAUCAUCUGGCUUAACUGGGUGCUUGCUUUCGAUACGGGCAGACUAGAGGUAUGCAGGGGAGAACGGAAUUCCUGGUGUAGCGGUGAAAUGCGCAGAUAUCAGGAGGAACACCGGUGGCGAAGGCGGUUCUCUGGGCAUGAUCUGACGCUGAGGAGCGAAAGUGUGGGGAGCGAACA